RNAcentral lists this ribosomal RNA (232 nucleotides) under uncultured bacterium. RNAcentral's name for it is "partial 16S ribosomal RNA". It matches the Rfam family "Bacterial small subunit ribosomal RNA", at positions 99 to 334 of the family's 1533-position model. The record is from RNAcentral.
CGGACGGGUGAGUAAUGUCUGGGAAACUGCCCGAUGGAGGGGGAUAACUACUGGAAACGGUAGCUAAUACCGCAUAACGUCGCAAGACCAAAGAGGGGACCGUUCGGGCCUCUUGCCAUCGGAUGUGCCCAGAUGGGAUUAGCUAGUAGGUGGGGUAACGGCUCACCUAGGCGACGAUCCCUAGCUGGUCUGAGAGGAUGACCAGCCACACUGGAACUGAGACACGGUCCAG